Molecule: ribosomal RNA, 789 nt
Filed under: Cordylospasta fulleri
Lineage: Eukaryota; Metazoa; Arthropoda; Insecta; Coleoptera; Meloidae
Description: partial large subunit ribosomal RNA
Rfam family: Bacterial large subunit ribosomal RNA (bases 1-576)
Source: RNAcentral
GUCUUUUAGUUAAUUAUUAAAGGUCUAGCCUGCUCCAUGAUUAAUUAAAUAGCCGCAGUAUAUUGACUGUGCGAAGGUAGCAUAAUCAUUAGUUUUUUAAUUGAAAGCUGGAAUGAAUGGUUGGAUGAGAAAGUUUCUGUCUCAUUUUGAUUUUAUUUGAAUUUUAUUUUUGAGUUAAAAAGCUUAAAUUUAAUAAAAAGACGAGAAGACCCUAUAGAGUUUAAUAAAUUUAUUAUUUGGUUUUUUAAGGGUUUAAAAUGAACUAUUUAUUAAUUUAUUUUGUUGGGGUGACAUAAGAAUUAGUUUAACUUCUUAGAUUAAAAACAUUGAUUUGUGAAUAAUGGAUCCUGGUGUCUGGAUUAAAAGAAUAAAUUACCUUAGGGAUAACAGCGUAAUUCUUUUGGAGAGUUCUUAUCAAUAAAAGGGAUUGCGACCUCGAUGUUGGAUUAAAAUUUAACUUUGGUGUAGAAGCUAGGGUUUUAAGUCUGUUCGACUUUUGAAAUUUUACAUGAUCUGAGUUUAAACCGGCGUGAGCCAGGUUGGUUUCUAUCUUUUAUGGUUAAAAUAUUUUAGUACGAAAGGACCAAGUAUUUAAAUAAUAUUUUAUUUUAGAAUAGAAUUGUUAUUUUGGCAGAGUAGUGCGAUAGAUUUAGGAUCUUUAAAUGUAAUUUUAUUACAUAUAACAAUUUUUUUUUUUGAUUUGAGGUUGUUGUUUAUUUCAGUGUUUAUUUUAUUAAUUAUGGUGCUGGUAGGUGUUGCUUUUUUGACUUUGCUUGAACGAAAGGUGUU